This 475-nucleotide small RNA is filed under the name Pan troglodytes (chimpanzee). Its description in RNAcentral is "processed transcript". The record is from RNAcentral. Lineage: Eukaryota; Metazoa; Chordata; Mammalia; Primates; Hominidae.
CACAACAUCAAGAGCAGGAAAAUGGACUCAUUAGGGAGGCAGGCAGUCAUUACCACUCACACUGUACUUCCAGGGAGACACCGAUUAUAAGAAGAGAAACUCAGCGCUGGGGAAGAAGAAUUGAUAAAUUGCAAGUUUGUGCCCCAUAGCUGCACAGACUGCCUGAAGUUACAUUUAGAGACUGAAAUCACUGCACCUUAAAAACAAAAGAUUGAGCUGCACUGUAUUCCUAAUGUUUCAUCAUUACUAACAGGAUAUUCCUCAUGACAUUGCUGUCUGCCUUUGAAGAAGUUCUAAGACAGAGCUCCUUACAGGGAAGCAUCUCUGUGCAUUCAGAAGAGAAGAACAUUUCUGAGUCCUCAAGAAACUAUUUCAAUCUUUGACCAUCAGUCUGUGACCUGCCCCUUCUCUUUACAUGCAGCCGCUCUCUGCUCCCUGCCCCAAUGAACAUCUGCACUAGGCCCAAGCCUUGGAG